GAUGAAUGCUGGCGGCGUGCCUAACACAUGCAAGUCGAGCGGCAGCGCGAGUAGUUUACUACUUGGCGGCGAGCGGCGGACGGCUGAGUAACGCGUGGGAACGUGCCCCAAAGUGAGGGAUAACGCACCGAAAGGUGUGCUAAUACCGCAUAUGAUCUUCGGAUUAAAGAAUUUAUUCGCUUUGGGAGCGGCCCGCGUCGGAUUAGGUAGUUGGUAGGGUAAUGGCCUACCAAGCCGACGAUCCGUAGCUGGUCUGAGAGGAUGACCAGCCAGACUGGAACUGAGACACGGUCCAGACUCCUACGGGAGGCAGCAGUGAGGAAUCUUCCACAAUGGGCGAAAGCCUGAUGGAGCAACGCCGCGUGCAGGAUGAAGGCCUUCGGGUUGUAAACUGCUUUUAUAAGUGAAGAAUAUGACGGUAACUUAUGAAUAAGCACCGGCUAACUACGUGCCAGCCGCCGCAGUAA
RNAcentral lists this ribosomal RNA (467 nucleotides) under uncultured bacterium. RNAcentral's name for it is "partial 16S ribosomal RNA". It matches the Rfam family "Bacterial small subunit ribosomal RNA", at positions 28 to 523 of the family's 1533-position model. The record is from RNAcentral.